Long non-coding RNA from Drosophila subpulchrella, 789 nucleotides. RefSeq lists it as uncharacterized. The record is from RefSeq and is a predicted model, not a curated record. The transcript has 3 exons. NCBI's taxonomy places the organism in Eukaryota, Metazoa, Arthropoda, Insecta, Diptera, Drosophilidae.
UUGCUGAAAUGUUCUGUUCAAUUUUCAACAAUUAAGGGAAUACCGUUAUUUUUUCGCACCUUUAAAUGAGUUCUUUGUUCUUUGCGCGAUGGCCUGAUAACCGUUUACCCAGAUUUCAUACCGUAAAAGGUGGCAGCGCCAAGAAAUUUUCUGGUACAGUCAUAAAGCCUAGUAUUCACAUCGACAAAAGCCGCGAGCUAACCAUAGGAGUGAGCGAGAGGCAAAUAGGCGACUAACGCUUUUCGUCGGGUCUUUUUUUCAGCGCGGUACUCAGAUGAGCUAAGGAAAUACCAGAUUUAGAGAGUGAAUUUCGAUGAACUCCGUUACCCGCGUCCCAAAGAAUGAGAAAUUUAAUCCUUGGCGGUAAAGCCUAGUACUCAGAUCGGCUAAGAGUUUCACUAGUCGAAAAAUCUUAUUCUUUGUAGUGUGACCGAAGUUUUCAAAGUGUAAACAGGCUUAUAAAUUGUGUUCGAUAGUUCAGACACAACUAUCGAUACAUACUAAUAAAACGGGUGCGGGAUAAAGAAAAAAGUAAAAAGAAAAUCACGAAUCUGACUGCAGGAACAGUUAUCAGACGAAAUGGCACUAAUGGACAUAGAGCUAAAAAAGGCCUUCACUGAAAUGCAGAUCAACAAACUGGAAACCAAUAGUAUUCACAUCGACGAAAGCCGCGAGCUAACCAUAGGAGUGAGCGAGAGGCAAAUAGGCGGCUAACGCUUUUCGUCGGGUCUUUUUUUCAGCGCGGUACUCAGAUGAGCUAAGGAAAUACCAGACUUAGCGAGUGAAUUU